AGCAGCCGCGGUAAUUCCAGCUCCAAUAGCGUAUAUUAAAGUUGUUGCAGUUAAAAAGCUCGUAGUUGAAUUUCGGGAUCAAUAUGUUGGUCGUGCCUUUGGUACGUACUGGUAUUAUUGGUUUCUCCUUUCUGAUGAAUCACGAUGUCAUUAAUUUGGUGUCAUGGGGAAUCAGGACUGUUACUUUGAAAAAUUAGAGUGUUUAAAGCAGGCUUACGCUUGAAUACAUUAGCAUGGAAUAAUGAAAUAGGACGUUUAAUUCUAUUUUGUUGGUUUCUAGGAUUGACGUAAUGAUUAAUAGGGAUAGUUGGGGGCAUUAGUAUUCAAUUGUCAGAGGUGAAAUUCUUGGAUUUAUUGAAGACUAACUACUGCGAAAGCAUUUGCCAAGGAUGUUUUCAUUAAUCAAGAACGAAAGUUAGGGGAUCGAAGACGAUCAGAUACCGUCGUAGU
This 450-nucleotide ribosomal RNA is filed under the name uncultured Glomus. Its description in RNAcentral is "SSU rRNA". It matches the Rfam family "Eukaryotic small subunit ribosomal RNA", at positions 569 to 1024 of the family's 1831-position model. The record is from RNAcentral. Lineage: Eukaryota; Fungi; Glomeromycota; Glomeromycetes; Glomerales; Glomeraceae.